Molecule: ribosomal RNA, 441 nt
Filed under: uncultured bacterium
Lineage: Bacteria
Description: partial 16S ribosomal RNA
Rfam family: Bacterial small subunit ribosomal RNA
Source: RNAcentral
CCUACGGGAGGCAGCAGUAGGGAAUAUUGGUCAAUGGGCGAAACCCUGACCCAACAACGUCGCGUGAUCGAUGAAGCCCCUACGGGUGGAAAGAUUCGUUAGUGGGGACGAAACCUGACGGUAGCCACACAGUAAGCACCGGCUAACUCCGUGACAGCAGCCGCGGUAAUAAGGGGGGGGCAAGCGUGGUCCGGAAUCAUUGGGCGUAAAGGGAUCGUAGGGGGCACGUUAAGUCUGGUGUUAAAAGCGGAAGCUCAACUUCCGUAGGGCACUGGAUACUGGCGGGCUUGAGUGCGGUAGAAGUAGGGGGAAUGCCUGGUGUAGCGGUGAAAUGCAUAGAUAUCAGGCAGAACAUCGAUGGCGAAGGCAGUUUACUGGGCCGUAAUUGACACUGAGGAACGAAAGCGGGGGUAGCGAAUGGGAUUAGAUACCCCUGUAGUC